UCUCAGCGUAUCGGCAACCAAAACCAUUGGCAAGACUCCAAAACUUGAGCUUUGAAUUCAACUUUCUAUUGUUUAUCUCUCUUCAUUUCUAUAUGAACGGUUAGAGAGAGAGAGAGAGAAAGAGAGACGCGUUGCGGAGUUCAGUGUAGGACUUUCUCUGACCUCGGAGUUUUAGAGAGAGAAAGAAAUGGCCGGAAAUGAUUGGAUAAACAGUUAUCUAGAGGCGAUUCUGGACGUAGGGCCAGGUCUUGACGAUGUGAAGUCGUCGCUGCUUCUGAGAGAGAGAGAGAGAGAGAGGCCAUUUCAGUCUUACUCGUUACUUCGUCGAGGAGGUCGUCACCAGAUUCGAUGAGACCGAUCUCCAUCGCUCCUGGGUUAAGGCAGCGGCGACGAGGAGUCCUCAGGAGAGGAACACCAGAUUGGAGAAUAUGUGCUGGAGGAUUUGGAAUUUGGCUCGCCAGAAGAAGCAGUAUCCUUGCGGCAUUCAUGGUCUAAUAAGGGGUGAAAAUAUGGAGCUUCGUCGUGACUCUGAUACUGGUGGCCAGGUAAUAUCUUGUUGUUAUGUUUUUCCCACAUGAUAUCUUUAUGGUCGAGACUCAGAGUUGCUGUGCUUCUCAGCGGCGGCGUCAACAGCAGCGUCGCUGUGCGCCUCCUCCACGCCGCCGGCCACUCCUGCAUCGCCUUUUACCUCAAGAUUUGGUUCCAAGUAAGGAGAGUUAUUGAUGAGUGCGUAAUUUAUGCACUCAUUCGUUACUCCUUUAGCUAGUUUCGGCGUGUUUUCCUUAAGUUGUUAUGUGAAUUUGAUGAUUCUCCCUUGAGUGUGCAAGAAUGGGUGAAAUCGCUGAGUUUUGAGGCAUUUUGGGCGCCUACAGAUGGCGACACGGCGCGAAAAGGAUCAAAAUUGAGCAAACCUGUACGAAGGACCAGCAAGUGAUGCGAUAUGUCGCCUCCUUUGUGGAGAUAUGUUGCUGCCUUUAGGCGAUAUGUCGCCUAUUCUAAGGGAUAUGUCGCCUGAGUUACCCGAUUUUAUUAGAAACACGCGUUUUGCCCUAGUCUAGUGCGCAGAUUUUUAUGGAAGUCAGAAUUGGCUUCUUGGGGACGUGAUGGACGUGGAAUAUAAGGUAGAGGGGCCGAAAACUGAAGGGAGGAGGAGAAAAACGAAAACAAAAAUUGCAAAGGAAGAAAAUCUGAAUCGGAGAGGAUUCCAGAGGGAAAUUAGAGGGAUUCUUCAAUAAUUCUAAGCGCUCUUCGUUCUCUUCUUUUCUUUCUUUUUGUAUUUUUUUAGAUUUCAAAUAUUAUUUGGAGAUUGUGAGUCACAUGAUGUGUGGCUAAUUUUCUUAAUUGUUAGGGUUUAGACGAAUCUCUAUUUGUGAUUAUUGUUUCGACGUUUUAAUAUGCAUUUAAUUAAAGUUCUUCGUUUCUUUCGUGUUCUAAUUUGAAUUGUUGCUGUCAAAUCUAUGAUUUAUAUAUUGCUAUGCUUUGUGAGAUUGUGAAUUGUGCAAAUUUAGAUUGUGAGGAUUAAUACUCGAGAGGGGAACGUUCAAGCAAUCAAGAAACGGGUAGAACAACUUAGGUUGGUGUGAGGUCGAGAGAUAAACAUUGCCUAGGUAGCCGAAACAAUUUUAGGUUGUGAAAUUGAGAAGUGGAAUUCCAGGAAUUGUUUCUAGAGUGGAACUUAAUGAAGGUAGGGGUGAAUAGUUGUAGAGAGAUAUAGGCUUGAUAUUACCUGCACAUUCUUUAUGCAGCACUCGAGAGAUGGUAUAAGGAUACACAUCACUCUAGGUUCUUGAGAACAUUGAGUUAGGUUAGGCACAUUACUGCAGAGAAACAUAAUCGUAAUAGAGUGAAGUUGAAACCCUAACAUUGCCAUCAUAUUGAUUUCCUAUUUUAAUUUCAGCGCAUGUUAUUCAUUACUGCUAUCUUUUCUUUUAUUUUAGUUUUCUUUUAUUUUAGUUUUUCUUUGAGUUUAUCACAUUCAAAUUUAAUCGCUUAGAUAAAAUUAAGAUAUGA
Morus notabilis is the source of this 2010-nucleotide long non-coding RNA. RefSeq lists it as uncharacterized. The transcript has 3 exons. NCBI's taxonomy places the organism in Eukaryota, Viridiplantae, Streptophyta, Magnoliopsida, Rosales, Moraceae. The record is from RefSeq and is a predicted model, not a curated record.